Molecule: ribosomal RNA, 366 nt
Filed under: uncultured bacterium
Lineage: Bacteria
Description: bacterial SSU rRNA
Rfam family: Bacterial small subunit ribosomal RNA
Source: RNAcentral
ACUGACGCUCAUGCACGAAAGCGUGGUAGCAACAGGAUUAGAUACCUGGUAGUCACGCCCUAAACGAUGUCAACUAGGUGUUGGGUCGGUCAAACAAUUUAGUACCGGAGCUAACGCGUGAAGUUGACCGCCUGGGGAGUACGGCCGCAAGGUUAAAACUCAAAGGAAUUGACGGGGACCCGCACAAGCGGUGGAUGAUGUGGAUUAAUUCGAUGCAACGCGAAAAACCUUACCUACCCUUGACAUGUUCAGAAUCCCGGAGAGAUUUGGGAGUGCUCGAAAGAGAACUGGAACACAGGUGCUGCAUGGCUGUCGUCAGCUCGUGUCGUGAGAUGUUGGGUUAAGUCCCGCAACGAGCGCAACCCU